UUUUGCGAUACUUGGUGUGAAUUGCAGAAUCCCGCGAAUCAUCGAGUCUUUGAACGCAAGUUGCGCCCCAGGCCAUCCGGCUGAGGGCACGUCUGCCUGGGUGUCACGC
RNAcentral lists this ribosomal RNA (109 nucleotides) under Carica papaya (papaya). RNAcentral's name for it is "partial 5.8S ribosomal RNA". It matches the Rfam family "5.8S ribosomal RNA", at positions 51 to 154 of the family's 154-position model. From Rfam's summary of the family: 5.8S ribosomal RNA (5.8S rRNA) is a component of the large subunit of the eukaryotic ribosome. It is transcribed by RNA polymerase I as part of the 45S precursor that also contains 18S and 28S rRNA. The record is from RNAcentral. Lineage: Eukaryota; Viridiplantae; Streptophyta; Magnoliopsida; Brassicales; Caricaceae.